RNAcentral lists this ribosomal RNA (301 nucleotides) under uncultured bacterium. RNAcentral's name for it is "partial 16S ribosomal RNA". It matches the Rfam family "Bacterial small subunit ribosomal RNA", at positions 509 to 807 of the family's 1533-position model. The record is from RNAcentral.
CAGUAGCCGCGGUAAUACGUAGGCAGCAAGCGUUGUUCGGAGUUACUGGGCGUAAAGGGUGUGUAGGCGGUUGUUUAAGUUUGGUGUGAAAUCUCCCGGCUCAACUGGGAGGGUGCGCCGAAUACUGAAUGACUAGAGUAUGGGAUGGGAGAGUAGAAUUCCUGGUGUAGCGGUGAAAUGCGUAGAUAUCAGGAGGAAUACCGGUGGUGUAGACGGCUCUCUGGACCAUUACUGACGCUGAGACACGAAAGCGUGGGUAGCAAACAGGAUUAGAGACCCCUGUAGUCCCUGUCUCUUAUAC